UAGGGAAUCUUCGGCAAUGGGGGCAACCCUGACCGAGCAACGCCGCGUGAGUGAAGAAGGUUUUCGGAUCGUAAAGCUCUGUUGUAAGAGAAGAACGUGUGUGAGAGUGGAAAGUUCACACAGUGACGGUAACUUACCAGAAAGGGACGGCUAACUACGUGCCAGCAGCCGCGGUAAUACGUAGGUCCCGAGCGUUGUCCGGAUUUAUUGGGCGUAAAGCGAGCGCAGGCGGUUUAAUAAGUUUGAAGUUAAAGGCAGUGGCUUAACCAUUGUUCGCUUUAGAAGCUGUUAAACUUGAGUGCAGAAGGGGAGAGUGAAAUUCCAUGUGUAGCGGUGAAAUGCGUAGAUAUAUGGAGGAACACCGGUGGCGAAAGCGGCUCUCUGGUCUGUAACUGACGCUGAGGCUCGAAAGAGUGGGGAGCAAACAGG
This 429-nucleotide ribosomal RNA is filed under the name bacterium. RNAcentral describes it as "partial 16S ribosomal RNA". It matches the Rfam family "Bacterial small subunit ribosomal RNA", at positions 355 to 776 of the family's 1533-position model. The record is from RNAcentral.